This 2854-nucleotide long non-coding RNA is filed under the name Homo sapiens (human). RNAcentral describes it as "HSALNT0180930". Lineage: Eukaryota; Metazoa; Chordata; Mammalia; Primates; Hominidae. The record is from RNAcentral.
CCCGCAUGAACAAUUUAUCAAACAUGAGAUAGCGUGUGUGUUUAUGAGUGUAUUUGUGGUCACACUGAUGUUUCAUACUGUGGCUAUCAAGUUGAUUAUAGCUCCCGAGAUGGUGGCGGCCGGCUCCCAAGGUGGCAGCAAGACUUUUGUUCUCUGACCUGGGGUUCUUGGCCUCCUGGAUUCCAAAGAAUGGAACCUUGGGGCCAUGCGAUUACUGGUGUGAUUACUGUCUCCUGACUGGACCCUGACUGCUAUAGAAUUGGUACCUGAAAGUGUCACAGAAGACGGAUUCUAAAAGAUGGGUUUUGGGAUUGGGUGAAAUGUUGAGGUUUUUGCUGAUGGGAAUUAGAUGCUAGUAACCCAUGCAUGCAGCAACAUUACAAUUAAGCUAUCACCUCUGAUUAAUUGCAAUUAAAUGCUAAUUAGGUAACUGUUGUGGGAGCUUAUACAGCUGCUGCACUUGACCAUUAUAGAUUCUUCCAAGUGUGUUGGAGUGCUUAGAGAAAGAAAAAAUGACAAGCUCAAGUCCUUUAACUCUUAGAUAAAAUGAUGGUCUUAGAAUCAUACAACUAAUAUGGCAGCAGUAAAGUAUCUCAUUUCUUGUAGUGAUAGGGCUAAUGCUGAAAAUCAAACAUAAAACUUUUUUGCAGAAUUACAGCAUUAGUUGAAUUCACAGCUCUACCAAGUAUCUCAUGUGAGAGUUAGGGCAUUCAUUGGGAAAUAAUGGCUCCUUGAAACUUGAGAUGAGAACAUCUGAUUGGAUUCAGAUUAGCCUGAGAAUCUCUGACUCCUGAGACACUCUAAGCCUCCCUUACCAGUAGAAGUACGUUUCCUUCUUGUGUUGAGAUGUCUAGCUUUCCUGUGAUAAUCUCAGGGGAGCAUGCAUUGAAAAAGGAUGUCCUUUGUUCCCAAGCACAAGGACCCUCUGUUUCCAUCAGUCCCAUAACUACAGCUGUGUGUCAAUAUGCUUAUAGUGCCAGAAAAACUGGAUGGUAGUAGGUUAUACACCUAAAGAAAUUACAAGGUUUUGUGAAUAUGUGUCAGCAGAAACUGAAGAAUAUGUAUGAAAAUAGAUUCUAAAGGUAUUAGAUCAGCAGUCCCCAACCUUUAUGGUACCAGGGACUGGUUUCGUGGAAGAUAAUUUUUCCAUGGACAAAUGGAGGGGUGGGGAUGGUGGUUGGUUUUGGGAUGAAACUAUUCCACCUCAGAUCAUCAGGCAUUAGAUUCUCAUAAGGAUCAUGCAACCUAGAUCGCUUGCAUGUAUAGUUCACAAUAGGGUUCACACUUCUGUAAAAAUCUAAUGCUGCUGCUGAUCUGACAGGAGGUGGAGCUCAGGCAGUAAUGCUUUCCUGCCUGUUGCUCACCUCCUGCUGUGCUGCCCAGUUCCCAACAGGCCACAGACCAGUACCAGUCCAUGGCCUGGGGGGUUGGGAACCCUUGGAUUAGACCAAAGAGGACAGAAUAUCAAAAUGGGUUAAAUGAUAUGAUAUGGUUGCACUUACUAGAGAUUUCAGAUUUAAUGUAUUAGCUCAUGCAGCUGUAGGUGUCUCUAAUAGCAUGCUUGAUGGAUUUACUAAAACGUGGACUGACUGGACUGACUGGUGGUCUGUGUCAAUGAGGUUGAUGUCAGAGCUUCCUUAGCAUGAUGUAGAAAAGGGAACCCAGAGGCUUAGGAAGAUAGGAAGUUUGGAAAUGGGUUUAUUUAUUUAUUUAAUUUUUAAAAAUUAAAAAAAAAUUUUUUUUGAGACAGAGUUUUGCUCUUGUCGCCCAGGCAAGAGUGCAAUGGUGUGAUCUCGGCUCACUGCAACCUCUAUCUCCAGUGUUCAAGUGAUUCUCCUGCCUCAGCCUCCCAAGUAGCUGGGAUUACAGGCACACACCACCAUGCCUGGCUAAUUUUUUUUGUAUUUUAAGUAGAAAUGGGGUUUUGCCACGUUGGCCAGGCUGGUCUUGAACUCUUGACCUCAGGUGAUCUGCCCACUUCAGCCUCCCAAGUUGCUGGGAUUACAGGUGUGAACCACCGUGUCCUGCAGAAAUGGGUUUAUUAUAUGCAACUGCAUGCCUACCCUUCAAUCACAGCCCUUUUAAGUCUUGACACACUUCCAGGGUUACCUGUACCCUAGUUUGAAGGCCACUGCUUGAGUUUGACAGCAACUCAAGAGGGAUGAUACAAGAUCAAGAGGGAUGAUGCAAGAUCUAGAGAGGUUUUCUUGUUUUUGCUUUAAACCAAUAGACUUAAAUAUGUUAAAGAUCUGGGUAGAAGAAGUCAAUAGACAGGGAAAAUGAAAAUCUAGUCAUGAGAAUACACACACACACACACACAUACACACACACACACACCCCACAGCAACUAUCUAAAAAUAUGGUCCUGAGGAUCCUGUGUGAAUGUGGCAGGGUUAUAUCUCCAGGAAUUCACUUGUUGGUUUAUUUUCUUACCCCCUUCCCUUCCAUUCUCUCACUAGGGAGGACACUUUAUUUCUCCUCCCCAGAGCACUAUGAUGGCCAUGAGUUACUUUGUGAGCAGAAACAAAAGCUCAAAGAAGAAAACUGCGGAAGCUUUAACUUCCAGGACCUAUAUAAGACUCUGGCUGGGCAAGAGUGGAGGAAGAUAUGUAGAAAAUUAGGUUUGAAAAGAUGAAGAAAGAAGGAUGUUUUCAGUCCACGAAAGCAGACUAAAAACAGCUUCUUGCCCCUAACCACCCAGUGCUCCAAUAUCCCACCCAGUUCUCACCUCUGCCUGCUCUCUGUCUAUGAUUAACCUACCUUGUAGCAUUCUCAUGCUCUAGUAAGUCUCCUCCUUUAGACACCCUGUGGUAGGGGUGAUGUAUCCCCCUCCAAGUUGGGAUGGAAAGACCCA